This is a non-coding RNA of Vigna radiata var. radiata (mung bean), 71 nucleotides long. The record is from Rfam. NCBI's taxonomy places the organism in Eukaryota, Viridiplantae, Streptophyta, Magnoliopsida, Fabales, Fabaceae.
UAUGCCUAUGAUGGUGUUAAAUAUACUCCGAGCUCCACUUCUAUUAUAUAAACUUUUCGAUCUGAGGCACU